AAGUCGUAACAAGGUUUCCGUAGGUGAACCUGCGGAAGGAUCAUUAGUGAAUAAACUUGUGUGGGUUGUUGCUGGCCUCCUCGGAGGUAUGUGCACGCCUGCCAUUGUUUCAUUCCCCUUCCACCUGUGCACUUUUUGUAGACCAGCUGUCACUUUUCGGGUUGCUCGCAUCCCGGUUAUGAGGAUUUGCUCUGGCUGUCCUUGGUUGUCAGCGGUCUAUGUCUUUUAUCAACUCUGUAUGUGUAAACGAAUGUUUGUUCUGGGUUCUAUACCCAUAAAAUCUAUACAACUUUCAACAACGGAUCUCUUGGCUCUC
RNAcentral lists this unclassified non-coding RNA (316 nucleotides) under Pluteus multiformis. RNAcentral describes it as "partial internal transcribed spacer region". The stretch from base 1 to 46 matches the Rfam family "Eukaryotic small subunit ribosomal RNA", at positions 1786 to 1831 of the family's 1831-position model. Lineage: Eukaryota; Fungi; Basidiomycota; Agaricomycetes; Agaricales; Pluteaceae. The record is from RNAcentral. RNAcentral also lists the same sequence under 1 other name.